This 487-nucleotide long non-coding RNA is filed under the name Pan paniscus (pygmy chimpanzee). Its description in RNAcentral is "lncRNA (ENSPPAG00000045158.1)". Lineage: Eukaryota; Metazoa; Chordata; Mammalia; Primates; Hominidae. The record is from RNAcentral.
GACAGGCUUAGCUAUGACUAAAAGUGUUGCUGGGUGUAAGACUAUGGAGGAUACAUCUGUAUUCAACUUAGGGCAAGAGAGCAUCAAGCUUCAGGAAGGAGAGAUUAUGAUUGUUUUACUUGCUUUCAGAUAAUGGAUUCUCUCACUUCUUUUCUUUUCUUUUCUUUUCCUUUUCUUUCUCUCUCUCUCUCUCUCUGUCACAUCUAUAUAGAUAUCCAUUCAUAUAUCCAUACAGGAAAGAAGGAAGGAAGGAAGGAAGGAAGGAAGGAAGGAAGGAAGGAAGGAAGGAAUGAAGGAAGGAAGGAAGAUACCCCAAGUAUAAAUGGAUUCAAGCUACUUGGAAUUUGGUCUACGGAGAUUAACAGCUUGCACAUUAAUUCAAAGCACCAACAGCCCACCUAACCUAAUGCCGUUUUAAAUGAAUUAAAAGCCCUGUUUAGGAAACUUUAAUACUUUAAUAUACUUUAAAUGAAGGAAAUGUGCAUCU